Molecule: ribosomal RNA, 324 nt
Filed under: uncultured bacterium
Lineage: Bacteria
Description: bacterial SSU rRNA
Rfam family: Bacterial small subunit ribosomal RNA
Source: RNAcentral
GACGAACGCUGGCGGCGUGCUUAACACAUGCAAGUCGAACGGGAUGCUCAGGAAGGAGAUUUCGGUCAACGGAAUGAGCUAUCUAGUGGCGGACGGGUGAGUAACGCGUGAGGAACCUGCCUUUCAGUGGGGGACAACAGCUGGAAACGGCUGCUAAUACCGCAUGACAUAUCUGUGUCGCAUGGCAUGGAUAUCAAAGAUUUAUCGCUGAGAGAUGGCCUCGCGUCUGAUUAGCUAGUUGGUGAGGUAAAGGCCCACCAAGGCGACGAUCAGUAGCCGGACUGAGAGGUUGGCCGGCCACAUUGGGACUGAGAUACGGCCCAG